This 281-nucleotide long non-coding RNA is filed under the name Mytilus galloprovincialis (Mediterranean mussel). The record is from RNAcentral. Lineage: Eukaryota; Metazoa; Mollusca; Bivalvia; Mytilida; Mytilidae.
UUGGCCAAUUUUCAUUAAAAAAAUUACAUCAUCAGAUUAUUUUUGUUUUAUUUAAGUCAAAUUAAUAUCAGAUUGAAAUAUUUUUUGCUCUGCAUCCUUGGAAGUGUGUUUGGUACAAACUCAGCUAUAUUUCGUAGUAUAAAAUCUUUCCUUUAUUCCAAAUAAGCUAUUUUUGGAAAGCAUGCGCGAAAUCACCGGACAUUGGAGGAACUCUCAGAACAGGGGUUUUCCUAAUUUUGGACACACAUUACACAAAAUCUAAAGGAUGAAACCAUACAAAC